AGUGAACGCUGGCGGUAGGCCUAACACAUGCAAGUCGAACGGCAGCACAGUAAGAGCUUGCUCUUACGGGUGGCGAGUGGCGGACGGGUGAGGAAUACAUCGGAAUCUACUUUUUCGUGGGGGAUAACGUAGGGAAACUUACGCUAAUACCGCAUACGACCUACGGGUGAAAGCAGGGGAUCUUCGGACCUUGCGCGAUUGAAUGAGCCGAUGUCGGAUUAGCUAGUUGGCGGGGUAAAGGCCCACCAAGGCGACGAUCCGUAGCUGGUCUGAGAGGAUGAUCGGCCAAAAGGGAACUGGGACACGGGCCAGCCUCCUAGGGGAGGCAGCAGGGGGGAAUAUUGGACAAUGGGGGCAAGCCUGACCCAGCCAUACCGGGGGGGUGAAGAAGGCCUUCGGGUUGUAAAGCCCUUUUGUUGGGAAAAAAAAGCAGCAGGUUAAUACCCCGCUGUUCUGACGGUACCAAAAGAAUAAGCACCGGCUAACUUCGG
RNAcentral lists this ribosomal RNA (491 nucleotides) under uncultured bacterium. Its description in RNAcentral is "partial 16S ribosomal RNA". It matches the Rfam family "Bacterial small subunit ribosomal RNA", at positions 29 to 506 of the family's 1533-position model. The record is from RNAcentral.